GCGGCCAAGUGCGAGUCGGACUCGCCCAUGAAGGGUUCCGUAGCAGCAAGUAACAUAAUAAAAUUGCGGUUUACGAUUUAUGACGUAUUAAAAAAAACUACUUACUAGAUCUCGUUCAAACCAAUUUUCGGUGGAAGUUUGCAUGGUAAUGUACAUCAUAUAUUUUUUUUAGUUUUAUCAUUCUCUUAUUUUAGAAGUUACGGGGGGGGGGCGGACACAUUUUACCACUUUGGAAGUGUCUCUCGCGCAAACUAUUCAAAAAAAAUUAUAUUAGAAACCUCAAUAUCAUUUUUGAAGACCUAUCCAUAGAUACCCCACACGUAUGGGUUUGAUGAAAAAAAAAUUUUUGGAGUUUCAGUUCUAAGUAUGGGCAGGGGUGCGAAACUCCUGACUUCGGUCAAACUCGGCUCCGCUCGGCUCAGCAUUGCUCCGAGCAAUUAUUAGGGUUGGCACCACUUGACUUCCUUUUGCGUGCACGACCACAGAUAAGAUAAUCACUUGAUUUUUGACAACCCUAAAUAGCCGAAAGGGAUAGUGCCAUAUAUUAGAAAGGGACAGCAUUAUUCGACCCUGAACCGCUGUCAAACUUCGUUUUUGUAGGAAGUUUCCUUUCUGUACGGUAGUACUAUUAAUUAUUCU
Long non-coding RNA from Cydia splendana, 639 nucleotides. RefSeq lists it as uncharacterized. The record is from RefSeq and is a predicted model, not a curated record. The transcript is spliced from 2 exons. NCBI's taxonomy places the organism in Eukaryota, Metazoa, Arthropoda, Insecta, Lepidoptera, Tortricidae.